This 87-nucleotide ribosomal RNA is filed under the name Pectobacterium parmentieri. RNAcentral also lists the same sequence under 2 other names. Lineage: Bacteria; Pseudomonadati; Pseudomonadota; Gammaproteobacteria; Enterobacterales; Pectobacteriaceae. The record is from RNAcentral.
UGACCCCAUGCCGAACUCAGAAGUGAAACGCCGUAGCGCCGAUGGUAGUGUGGGGCUUCCCCAUGUGAGAGUAGGGAACUGCCAGGU